AUUUUCACUCUAAAACUUGGAGACCUCAUCUUUUAUCUAACCUCUCUUUUUUCCAGUACAGCGUCAUUACCAUGGAGUUUCAUCUAACAAUGCUUGUUCCAUCUGUUUCCAUUUUGUCAUGAAAAUCAAAGGAGGUAGUGGAUGUGAAAUUUUACUGAUUACAUAUAUAGGAUCCAAAUAACAUGCAGUGACAAACCUCCUGCAUAUGGCUGAAUGCUAAGCCACCAGCUACUCCUGCCCUCACAUCUCACAACUUUGCUGCAAGAAAAAACAAAACAGAACAUCUUGGCUAAAACUGCCCACCUCCUUACCCCAAGCUUGAUGCCAGCUGAAGAGUCCCAGGAGACCAGUUGGCUUAGCCCGGGUCAGAGGCCCUGGAUGGGAGUGGAUGAUUGGUAGCCAUCAUUUGCACCUGAUGGUUAGAGUGUGAGAGAAGCAGUCUUCCUGAAGAAGAGAGGUGGUGUCCUCAGAAAAGAGGAAGGGUACAAGGUUGUGAAAGCAAUAAAUGCUCACGCAAAAGAGGGUUGACCCAAGGUCUGGCCUUCUUCUUGCCACUCUCUAGUGAGGGAGCCCUUAGGAAAUUGAUUAUGCUCUCUGUCAAGCGGCAAAAAUAAAACCUGCCCCUGCCUUACGUGGUGAUGUGAGGAACAGAUUACAGAAUAGAUUUAAAGUGGCCUUUCAAAGUUUAAAGUGCGAUACCAAUGAAAGGUAAACUAAGUUAUUCUGGUUCUCUCCCUGCAUUUGGUCAGUUCCUGUAACGCAAACCAUUCUAGGUAGGUUAUAAUCUCAUGAAAGUUCGGAAGCAAGGAUUAAGGCCACUCUCUAGCUCUGUUUGGUUGAGAAACAGCACUAUUUCAGAGAUUUUUUAAAUAGAUAAAAUUGUAUUCAUCACCUGUUAAAUCAUGCAUGAGAUUUACUUGGGGUGAUCCCUGAAAUUUUUUCAAUUAGAAAAAUGUAAAUUACAAAAUACAUUAUUUAUAAUGCACACACGGUUGACUAUGUUUUAGAAUAUUACCUAAAGAAACCACAGAAGAAUAACAACACAAAUACAGAUUCUUUGAUACUAUACUAGUAUACAUGUUCUGCUUCUUCCUUUCAGGUCUAUUUGCAGAGUCUUCCAUUCUUGAGCAAUUUUCUCUGGGGUGACUCUCCGCUACUAUGAAACCUGUGUCUGUUUGACAAUACCUGUGCCCAUUGUGCAGAGUUCUUUGUGGCCCUAUCAUGGGGGACUUCCAUUCUGUACUUGGUUACUUCAGUGUGUCAGCUAGAUCCAGCUGCUCUGCGCUGGUUCAUGUGGGUACCACCUACAUGCAAUGCGUCUCCAUUUAUCUUACUGUCCAUCCAGGUCCAUUGUACCCUUCAAGACUGGUUGAAGCCCACUGCUGUAGGACAUCAGUUCCUCUGGCCCUGUUCCUUUGUGAAGCCUUUUUGUGUUUUGUGUGACUGUGUGAUCUGACUGCAUUCACAGGCACUUCUCACACAUAGCUUUGUGCAUCUUCUCAAAUUGCUACAUGUGUAUGUUUGUCCCUCCAAAGGAUUAAAACCUGAGUGAGUGCCAGCUUUCUCUGCAGGAGGAGUGGGUAGUGACCUUUGGUGCUUCCAGAAGAAAAGCAUGCAGGACAUCAUGGUAAAAGUGGGAUGCGCAGCAGAGACACCCUUGCAACUUCAUCCCGCUGCUCACUUCCCACCUGGGUCCCUGACCUCACUGGAAAUUGGGGUCCAGGGACUGGAAUCCAUUUGCUCUGGCCUUUGUCUCUCUGGGCUGGGUGUGGGGCCGUGAAAGGAUGAGCGCCUCCUGCCCAUGGUUGCAAUGGGAGAUCCAGAGGAUACAUGCUGAAAAUAAUAUCCUGGGGUGAGGGCCAAGGUCAUGGCCAGUGAGUGAGUCCAAACCAUCUCAUAAAUUAAUGCAACUCUUGGAAAACUGGGAGCUGAGUUAAUGGAGCCGAAAUGAGUGGUGUGGAGCCACAGGGAGAGCCACGAGUGUCCAGAGGGAGCCAGUGCCACCGGCCACGCGGCCCAAGACCUUCCAGGGCCUUCCCUUCAUGGUCUUGCAGGCAGCUGGGCCUGCUGGGGCCGGAAGGGAGCUGGGCCCCUCAGACACAGCCGAGGAAAACUUGACUGCUGGUGUGCCAGAUCCGUCCACAGGUCCCCAGGGAUUCCCCAAGUGAAUUCUGUCCUCUAAAGCUCGUCACAAACAGGUAGGAAAUUCUACUCUUUAAUUAUCCUAAUCCCAAACAAGUCAUGAUACUCACAUAGCCAAUUUCAGGUUUAAUCGUGUUACCUUUAUCCAAGUAGAAAUCAAUUCCCAUUUUUGUAUAGCUCUGCAGAACAUCCAGAGUGCUUCAGCGCAGAGCAAGGCCCCAGCAGUUAUGAGUGCUAUCAUCAUAUGGGAAAAAGAAGUUCAUCACUCUGUGUGUGUGUGGAGCGGGAAGGGAUGGGAGGCAAGUUUAUGACAGU
Molecule: long non-coding RNA, 2457 nt
Filed under: Homo sapiens (human)
Lineage: Eukaryota; Metazoa; Chordata; Mammalia; Primates; Hominidae
Description: HSALNT0338306
Source: RNAcentral